Molecule: ribosomal RNA, 478 nt
Filed under: uncultured bacterium
Lineage: Bacteria
Description: partial 16S ribosomal RNA
Rfam family: Bacterial small subunit ribosomal RNA
Source: RNAcentral
GAUGAACGCUGGCGGCGUGCCUAACACAUGCAAGUCGAACGGAGUCCAGCCUUUAAGACCUUCGGGUCAAAGGGGGGAAGACUGAGUGGCGGACGGGUGAGUAACACGUGGGCAACCUGGCUCAUAGAGGGGGAUAACAGAGAGAAAUUUCUGCUAAUACCGCAUAAGCACACACUGCCGCAUGGCAGAGGGUGAAAAGAGAAUCGCUAUGAGAUGGACCCGCGUCUGAUUAGCCAGUUGGCAGGGUAAGAGCCUACCAAAGCGACGAUCAGUAGCCGAUCUGAGAGGAUGAACGGCCACAUUGGGACUGAGACACGGCCCAAACUCCUACGGGAGGCAGCAGUGGGGGAUAUUGCACAAUGGGGGGAACCCUGAUGCAGCGACGCCGCGUGAGUGAAGAAGUAUUUCGGUAUGUAAAGCUCUAUCAGCAGGGAAGAUAAUGACAGUACCUGAAUAAGAAGCCCCGGCUAACUACGUG